Molecule: non-coding RNA, 366 nt
Organism: Podarcis lilfordi (Lilford's wall lizard)
Lineage: Eukaryota; Metazoa; Chordata; Lepidosauria; Squamata; Lacertidae
Source: the annotation of a GenBank genome assembly
UAGGAAUCUACCAUUGAGGCCCUUUUGAAGAUUCUGUCUUAUGUGUAGAUGAGAGUGGCCACCACAAGAAGAGGCCUUUUUCUGUUGCAUCACCAGAACUCUAGAAUGUCUUCUGCUGGAAAUCCUAGAAGGCUUCUUCUUGUCUAUAUUUCUGCUACCAAGUAUGGUGUGCAGUCUUCUUCCAUUCAGUAGAAAAUCUGUUGAGGAUGUUGCUGAUUUGCUAUCUUAUAACUAUGUUGUUGUUGUUCAUUUACCUUUUCAUAUUGUUUGGUUUUUACAUUUCUACAGAGUUUUGAAUGCUAAAGAGAUACAGUUUUAAAAACUUACUUUUUUUAAGAAUCUGGAAAAAUAAAACUGACAAUUCCU